UACGUAGGGGGCAAGCGUUGUCCGGAAUCAUUGGGCGUAAAGAGCGCGUAGGCGGUCCGGUAAGUCGGUUGUGAAAACUGGGGGCUCAACCCUCAGAGGCCGACCGAUACUGCUGGGCUAGAGUCCGGAAGAGGCGAGUGGAAUUCCUGGUGUAGCGGUGAAAUGCGCAGAUAUCAGGAAGAACACCCGUGGCGAAGGCGGCUCUCUGGGACGGUACUGACGCUGAGACGCGAAAGCGUGGGGAGCGAACAGG
Molecule: ribosomal RNA, 253 nt
Filed under: uncultured bacterium
Lineage: Bacteria
Description: partial 16S ribosomal RNA
Rfam family: Bacterial small subunit ribosomal RNA
Source: RNAcentral